UCUUUAAUUGUAACAUUACUUCCACACAAGGUCUAAAUUGGAAAAGAUUCUUCACCAUGGGACGCUUCCAGAUCUUUGCCGAAUGAAGUGAAAAGUUUCUUGGCACAAUGUCUUUUUGAACUCAUUGUAAAGGCAGUGUAAUAUUUACAUCCAGAGGCCACGGAAAGCAUUCUGGUGCUUAAAAACCCUCUUGGAUUUGUUAAAUCUCAUUAUAAAAAAAAAAACAAACACUGCAAACAUAAUGAACGUGCAGUGUCUGUACAAUGACUUACAAUAGAUUUUCUACAAAGGCUUUUAUUUGAGCAAGUGGUGGAAAUGAUUUCUGUUAUAUGGCUGCUCAUUUCAUUAUAGAUCCACAGUGACGGUGAAUAGUUGGUGAUAGACAUUAUGUGUACUGUAGGAUCUCUGGCCGUCGCUUGAAACAAAUCCAUAAGUAGAAAAUAAAUAAAACCCAUGCAUUACAAUGGUAUAAUGCAUUUACAUGUACCAGACUUUGUUCAACUCAAUUCUAUUCAUGUCAAAUAUUAUAUAAUAUUGAAGCAUUGACAUCCUUGCUUGUGUAGAAAAUUAUAGGCAAAAUACUUUGAAAAAAAAAGGCCUUUUGAUUCAAGUCUUCCAUGUGUGUUUGCAGAUCUUCUCGAAGGACAUCUGACUGGAUCCUUGAGCAACUGGGAGCACCAAUCAGAUCUCUGCAGCUGUGUGGGGUGCAAUAUGAAAAUCUGGUCAUGGGUGGGUAUCUGAUGAGAAAUGAGGUUCUCAAAAAACACAAGCACUUCUUGCACUGUGGGAAGCUAUGCAUGGGAAUGCUCAGAUUUGCUAUCUGAAAAGCUAUUGCACACAAACAAGACCCCGGCCAUGAAUAAAGCUUCCUAUUCAGUGUGACAAACACCAAGUGUACAGUAAACAAAGGAAAACAAUAAUCCGUUUUCUCAAGCUGAUGUUCCUAACAGAACUGAACAAUCAUCCAUGUAAUUUCAACGUUACAUCCAAUUACAGUCAAGGACAGUGGAAUACUGCUAAACACCAUAAUCUGUGUAAA
This 1039-nucleotide long non-coding RNA is filed under the name Carassius auratus (goldfish). RNAcentral's name for it is "lncRNA (ENSCARG00000029839.1)". The record is from RNAcentral. Lineage: Eukaryota; Metazoa; Chordata; Actinopteri; Cypriniformes; Cyprinidae.